This 1270-nucleotide long non-coding RNA is filed under the name Anser cygnoides (Swan goose). Its description in RNAcentral is "lncRNA (ENSACDG00005005681.1)". The record is from RNAcentral. Lineage: Eukaryota; Metazoa; Chordata; Aves; Anseriformes; Anatidae.
AUGGAUGGAAAAGGGUGCAGGGACAGCAAGGAAUGCCGCAGGGCGGAAGCUGACGAGGUUGCGCUGCCUGCUUUAUGUACAGGGAUCAGGCAUUUCACGGCAGACACCUACCUGCAGGAGGCUGACUGGGGAUACCACGGGCACGAUUACGGCACGGGGACGCAUCCCCACCCUGUAAUAAAACGGGGAGGGGGGCAGCACCGCAGCCUGCCGGUUCUUGUGCUGCACGGAUCAUUUGUUGCUCCCUGCCCCUUCCUGGCACGGCCCCGCGGCACAGGGUACGGCACCACCGCCGAUCCCGCUGGCAGACGCUCCUGGAGCAACCCUGCGGGAAGGGGCUUCCCUCUGGAGCCACUCCGUCCUCCUCUAGCUGCCAGGGUCUGCUCUGCGCCCCGAGCACGGCCGGGAGAAGCCGCCAGCACCCGCGGCAAGCAGAGCGCGAGGACGGGGAGCCCCCGCCUGAGGGCACGGCUCUCUGCUGCCAAGCACUUCUUCCAAGCUCAGGAUCGGUGCACCCCUAAGAGCAGGAAAUCGGGGAAGGGGGGCAGGAGACCUGCGCGGAAGAACGAGGAGCUCACAGACAAGAUCAAAAGGAAGAGGAAGGUCAAUGAAAUGUGGAAAAAGGGCCUGUCCUCUUGGGAGGAGUAUAGGAAUGUUGUCAGGGCCUGCAGGGACGCAACGAGGAAGGCUAAAGCCCAGCUGGAGGUGAAGCUUGCAAAAGAGAUAAAGGAUAAUACGAAGAUUUUUUUUUAAGUAAGUAAACAGUGAAAGGAAGACUAGAGAUAAUGUGGGUCCCCUGCUGAACGAGGGGGGCGUCCAGGUAAUGGGGGAUGCUGAGAAGGUGGAGAUAUUGAAUGCCUUCUUUGCUUCGGUCUUUGCUUCGAAGACUGCCCCCCAGGACUCCUGGACCCUGGAGGGAGGAGAAAGAGGCUGGGAAAUGGAGAGCUCCCCUCUGUUUGAGGGAGUGGUUCAGAAGCAUCUGAGUGGGAUCAACGCACGCAAAUCCAUGGACCCCGAUAGGAUGCAUCCACGUGUGCUGAGGGAGCUGGCGGAGGUGAUCGCUGAACCGCUAUCAUCUUUGAGUGGUCUUGGAGAACAGGAGAGGUGCUGAAGCCUGGAGGAUAGCCAAUGUCACUCCGGUCUUCAGAAAGGGCAAGAAGGAGGAUCCGGGAAACUACAGGCCAGUCAGUCUCACCUCCGUCCCUGGAGAGGUGAUGGAACAGCUUGCUCUGGAUGCCAUCUCCAAGCAAUUGGAAGAGAAGAAGGUUAU